This 70-nucleotide transfer RNA is filed under the name Prosevania sp. ZJUH_2016031. RNAcentral describes it as "tRNA-Asp". Lineage: Eukaryota; Metazoa; Arthropoda; Insecta; Hymenoptera; Evaniidae. The record is from RNAcentral.
AAAGUAUUAGUUAAAUCUAAUAACAUUAAAAUGUCAUUUUAAAAUUAUUAACUUAUAUUAAUAUACUUUA